This is a long non-coding RNA of Podarcis raffonei (Aeolian wall lizard), 1295 nucleotides long. RefSeq lists it as uncharacterized. The transcript is spliced from 4 exons. The record is from RefSeq and is a predicted model, not a curated record. NCBI's taxonomy places the organism in Eukaryota, Metazoa, Chordata, Lepidosauria, Squamata, Lacertidae.
CUGUGAUGUAUGAAUUCAGAUAAAUGUAUGAAUGCCUGUUCUGGGUGAGUUGAAGUGAACUGAAGGAACAUUCCAGACUCUUGUUUCUGGACUAUCAAAUUCACAUUGGAAUAGGACCCUUAAACAAAAAAUGGAUAUAAAUGCUCUGGGAUUAACAAGGCAGCAGGGUUGCAGCCUUGUUGCUGAGAUCAAAAUAGGACGUUUAAAAGCACACACUGCAGGAAAGAGAAAACAUGGCUCCUCCUCCCCAUUCCUUCCCCAGGCCUCUCAUUGCACAACCAAUGAGGUAUGAACAGGUGACAGCAGCAGGUUGGAAAAGAACAAUCCUGACUUUCUGCUCGAAUUGGAGAUUUAAAAAUUGUUCAUAUUGGAGCUGUACAGAGGCAACCCUGCAAUCCAGGGAGUGGGGUUUUCUGCUAGGCCUCUGUAAUGCAAGCUUUUGAUAACCAGGAAGCAGCUCCCCAAGGCCCAGCCUCCAUAUUCUGAGGAGAAAUUAGUAAUGAAUAAAUUAGUAAUAACUAAAUAAAUUCUGAGGAGAAAAUUAGAAGUAAAUAAAUAAUAAGUGUGAGGGAGGUUUGCCUUGAUUUUUAGACAGGAGUCGCUCAAAGCUUCGUGAACUGGAUUGUAAACCUGUGAUUUUAAAAAAAGGACUGGGUCAGUUAUUGGACUUAUUAACUGUUCAGUUUGUGAAGUAGGAUGGUUUCUUAUCAGUUUGAGGACGGAGCCAGGAUAAUUUUGGUCAGAGGAUCAAAGUGGGUUAUAAGGCUCUGUGCAAAAAAAUUACACCACACCACCCUCCUCAGAUCUGAAGAACAAGCACAACACAACAGUUAAUAUACAGUAUUCAUCUUGAUGCUAGUGUAGAGGAACAGAAGAAGCUGACUAUUUAUGAUGCUUAUCUGGGUGGAGCCCGUGAGCUCCAUAGAGGGUGUUCUCAUGGGGAAAAAGAAGGUGAAACAGCCGAGAUUACAGUUCAGUGCCUCUGAACAGGCAAAACUCUGGUGGGGUGUUUUUAAAAAAACAACAAAAACAAAAUCCUCUGACACCCUGCCUGUCAAACGCUGCAUUCAGCAGCUGCAAUAUAAAGCCAGUGUAGAGAAUGGAAAUUGCUGUAGUGGAAAAGUCUUGCACUAAUACCAAUGGGCAACUGCCUGGAUUUAACACGGAAUAUUUGAAAUCACUUGCCGAAAGUGUCUCUGGAACAUCUAAGAACACUUCAGUCACUGACAUACAAUGGAAUAUUUAUCAAGGAACUUGGCAUCUAUUAAAGGGUUUAUUAAAAAACUUUACAUGUG